CGCAAGGUGAGUGGCAGACGGGUGAGUAACGCGUGGGAACCUUCCCUUUGGUACGGAAUAACUUCGGGAAACCGAAGCUAAUACCGUAUAAGUCCUUCGGGAGAAAGAUUUAUCGCCAAAGGAUGGGCCCGCGUUGGAUUAGCUAGUUGGUAGGGUAAAGGCCUACCAAGGCAACGAUCCAUAGCUGGUCUGAGAGGAUGAUCAGCCACACUGGGACUGAGACACGGCCCAGACUCCUACGGGAGGCAGCAGUGGGGAAUAUUGGACAAUGGGGGCAACCCUGAUCCAGCCAUGCCGCGUGAGUGAAGAAGGCCUUAGGG
RNAcentral lists this ribosomal RNA (320 nucleotides) under uncultured bacterium. RNAcentral's name for it is "bacterial SSU rRNA". It matches the Rfam family "Bacterial small subunit ribosomal RNA", at positions 85 to 422 of the family's 1533-position model. The record is from RNAcentral.